AUGCACGCUGGCGGCGUGCCUCAUCCCUGCAAGUCGCGCGAACGGACGAGAAGCUUGCUUCUCUGAUGUUAGCGGCGGACGGGUGAGUAACACGUGGAUAACCUACCUAUAAGACUGGGAUAACUUCGGGAAACCGGAGCUAAUACCGGAUGAUAUUUUGAACCGCAUGGUUCAAAAGUGAAAGACGGUCUUGCUGUCACUUAUAGAUGGAUCCGCGCUGCAUUAGCUAGUUGGUAAGGUAACGGCUUACCAAGGCAACGAUGCAUAGCCGACCUGAGAGGGUGAUCGGCCACACUGGAACUGAGACACGGUCCAGACUCCUACGGGAGGCAGCAGUAGGGAAUCUUCCGCAAUGGGCGAAAGCCUGACGGAGCAACGCCGCGUGAGUGAUGAAGGUCUUCGGAUCGUAAAACUCUGUUAUUAGGGAAGAACAUAUGUGUAAGUAACUGUGCACAUCUUGACGGUACCUAAUCAGAAAGCCACGGCUAACUACGUG
Molecule: ribosomal RNA, 496 nt
Filed under: uncultured bacterium
Lineage: Bacteria
Description: partial 16S ribosomal RNA
Rfam family: Bacterial small subunit ribosomal RNA
Source: RNAcentral